This 332-nucleotide unclassified non-coding RNA is filed under the name soil metagenome. RNAcentral describes it as "partial contains 5.8S ribosomal RNA, internal transcribed spacer 2, and large subunit ribosomal RNA". The stretch from base 1 to 120 matches the Rfam family "5.8S ribosomal RNA", at positions 35 to 154 of the family's 154-position model. The record is from RNAcentral.
GAUGAAGAACGAAGCAAAAUGCGAUAAGUAAUGUGAAUUGCAGAAUUCAGUGAAUCAUCGAAUCUUUGAACGCACAUUGCGCCCGCCAGUAUUCUGGCGGGCAUGCCUGUUCGAGCGUCAUUUCAACCCUCAAGCACAGCUUGGUGUUGGGACUCGCGUUAAUUCGCGUUCCCCAAAUUGAUUGGCGGUCACGUCGAGCUUCCAUAGCGUAGUAGUAAAACCCUCGUUACUGGUAAUCGUCGCGGCCACGCCGUUAAACCCCAACUUCUGAAUGUUGACCUCGGAUCAGGUAGGAAUACCCGCUGAACUUAAGCAUAUCAAUAAGCGGAGGA